RNAcentral lists this unclassified non-coding RNA (337 nucleotides) under soil metagenome. RNAcentral describes it as "partial contains 5.8S ribosomal RNA, internal transcribed spacer 2, and large subunit ribosomal RNA". The stretch from base 1 to 120 matches the Rfam family "5.8S ribosomal RNA", at positions 35 to 154 of the family's 154-position model. The record is from RNAcentral.
GAUGAAGAACGUAGCGAAAUGCGAUAAGUAGUGUGAAUUGCAGAAUUCAGUGAAUCAUCGAAUCUUUGAACGCACAUUGCGCCCCUUGGUAUUCCAUGGGGCAUGCCCGUUCGAGCGUCAUUUGUACCUUCAAGCUCUGCUUGGUGUUGGGUGUUUGUCUCGCCUCUGCGUGUAGACUCGCCUCAAAACAAUUGGCAGCCGGCGUAUUGAUUUCGGAGCGCAGUACAUCUCGCGCUUUGCACUCAUAACGACGACGUCCAAAAGUACAUUUUUACACUCUUGACCUCGGAUCAGGUAGGGAUACCCGCUGAACUUAAGCAUAUCAAUAAGCGGAGGA